AGGAAUCCGACGAUCAAGCACUAUAAGCACAUUACAAUGUGAAUGAAACUUGGAAUGCUCAAGGUCGAGGUUCUGGAGGUAGAAACUGUUGAGGUAAAAGUCAAGGAGGUUGUGGUCGGGGUGUUGUUGGAGCUGACAUAGAUCAGACUAGACAUCAAAGUUGGUGUGGCUGUGGUUGAGGAAGAUAUCAUAAAGGUUAGGUUAAAGCAACUUUGGAGUGCUUCAAAUGUGUCAAACUUGGUCACUAUGCAAAAUGAAUGCAAAAUAGGAAGCCAUUACAAUUAUGGGAAUGUCGGUCUCAUAGCAAUAACAAAUGCAAUUUCAUGGCAUAAAAAAUGUGGAUAUGCAAGUGUGAGAUUAAUCUCUAAACUGCAACGCCAUAACCCUUUAAGAGGACUCGUAUCAUUCAAGUAUACAAUCUUUUGUGAUGCCUACAUGAGAGGUAAACAGGUCAACGAGUCUUUUAAAAGAAAAAACGUUGUUUCAAUAGAAAAACCUCUUG
This 502-nucleotide long non-coding RNA is filed under the name Vigna radiata. RNAcentral describes it as "long non-coding RNA (VRAD_LNC006921)". The record is from RNAcentral. Lineage: Eukaryota; Viridiplantae; Streptophyta; Magnoliopsida; Fabales; Fabaceae.